RNAcentral lists this ribosomal RNA (1000 nucleotides) under Vibrio cholerae. RNAcentral's name for it is "bacterial SSU rRNA". It matches the Rfam family "Bacterial small subunit ribosomal RNA", at positions 446 to 1454 of the family's 1533-position model. The record is from RNAcentral. Lineage: Bacteria; Pseudomonadati; Pseudomonadota; Gammaproteobacteria; Vibrionales; Vibrionaceae.
UUAAGUCAUGCCUUAAUCAUUUUGACGGUUACUACAGAAGAAGCACCGUCUACCUCGUUUCUGCAGCCGCGUAAUACGAGGGUGCAAGCGUUAAUCAGAAAUACUGGCGUAAAGCGCAUGCAGUUGUUGUUAAGUCAGAUGUGAAAGCCCUGGGCUCAACCUAGGAAUCGCAUUUGAACUGACAAGCUAGAGUACUGUAGAGGGGGGUAGACUUUCAGGUGUAGCGGUGAAAUGCGUAGAGAUUUGAAGGAAUACCGGUGGCGAAGGCGGCCCCCUGGACAGAUACUGACACUCAGAUGCGAAAGCGUGGUGAGCAAACAGGAUUAGAUACCCUGGUAGUCCACGCCGUAAACGAUGUCUACUUGGAGGUUGUGCCCUAGAGUCGUGGCUUUCGGAGCUAACGCGUUAAGUAGACCGCCUGGGGAGUACGGUCGCAAGAUUAAAACUCAAAUGAAUUGACGGGGGCCCGCACAAGCGGUGGAGCAUGUGGUUUAAUUCGAUGCAACGCGAAGAACCUUACCUACUCUUGACAUCCAGAGAAUCUAGCGGAGACGCUGGAGUGCCUUCGGGAGCUCUGAGACAGGUGCUGCAUGGCUGUCGUCAGCUCGUGUUGUGAAAUGUUGGGUUAAGUCCCGCAACGAGCGCAACCCUUAUCCUUGUUUGCCAGCACGUAAUGGUGGGAACUCCAGGGAGACUGCCGGUGAUAAAUUUAAGGAAGGUGGGGACGACGUCAAGUCAUCAUGGCCCUUACGAGUAGGGCUACACACGUGCUACAAUGGCGUAUACAGAGGGCAGCGAUACCGCGAGGUGGAGCGAAUCUCACAAAUUACCUAGUAGUCCGGAUUUGAGUCUGCAACUCGUCUCCAUGAAGUCGGAAUGGGUAGUAAUCGCAAAUCAGAAUGUUGCGGUGAAUACGUUCCCGGGCCUAGUACACACCGCCCGUCACACCAUGGGAGUGUGCUGCAAAAGAAGCAGUAUAGUCUAAGCUUCGCGAGGACGC